GCAGUCGCAGCCGCCCCGCAGCCGCCAGCGACCUCGAGCGGCGGCGACCGGUCGGCGGGCGACUCGGCUCCCCUGAUCCCCUCCGGUAUGGACGGCCAGGCUCCACACCCCGUCGCCGUCGCACCCAAAUCCCCGCCGCAGCCACCUCCGCGUCUGGAUAUGGAGGCGGAGGACGACCCCGUCGUCGUCCCCGACGCCGCCGAUGCCGCUUCGUCGGAGGCCUCCAAGGUCGGCGCCCAUGGUGUCGCGCCCCUGCUUUCUACUUCGUCCCUUCUUAAGAUGGAAGACGACCCGGUUGUCGUCCCCGACACCGUCGAACCCGCUUCUUCAGAGGCCUCCGAGGUUGGCGCCGGUGGUGUAGUGCUCCUGCAGCCGCCGUCGCUGUCUCUUGAGGCGGAGGAGGAUCCCCUCAUCGUGCUCGGCACUUCCGAGACCGCUUCUCUGGAGGCCACCAAUGUUGGCACCGGUGUUGUGGUGCCGUCGCCACCUCUUGAGGCGGGGGACGAUCCCCUUAUCCUCCCUGGUACCGACGCCUCUUUGGAGGCCUCCGACGUACUCACCACUGGUGUCGUGCUUACGGACGAGCUCCGCGACAAGAUCGUUAAGCAGGUGGAGUACUACUUCAGCGAUGAGAAUCUUCCCACGGAUGAGUUUAUGUUGAAAUUUGUGAUGAAGAACAAGGAGGGCCUUGGUAACGUUCCACUUGGAGUUAUUGCAUCAUUUAGAAAAAUGAAGAAACUUGUUCAGGACCACUCUGCAAUUGAAGCGGCCCUUAGGACAUCAUCCAAGCUGGUUGUGAGCUCUAACGGGAAAAGGGUCAGAAGGUUACAUCCCUUACCAUGCAAUGAGUUGAAAGACGUGAAGAGAAGGACUGUUGUGGUGGAAAAUCUACCCCUGGAUUUCUCCCUGGAGAGUUUACAGGAGAAAUUUGGAUCAGUUGGCAAAAUUAUGAAGAUAACCAUUCAUGAUCCACAUGCAGUUGGAGAAUCUGCAGCAUCAAAGAAGCCUGACUUCAUGUUGAGUAAUAAGGUACAUGCCAUUGUUGAGUAUGAAGCGGUGGAGGCAGCUGAGAAGGCUGUGGCCACCUUAAAUGAUGAGAGGAACUGGAGAACUGGGAUGAGAGUCAUACUUCUGGCUAAACGAAGUGUAGUGGGAUCAGGAAAGCAUAUCCAGUCUUCGAAAGAAAAUCAUGGAACAGUUUCGAGAAAGAACAACGAGGGCCAGUUUUCAAAAGAAGUACAGCAGUCGGCAUCGGAAAAAAAUGGUGGUGCUGAUUCAGGAGAGGUUGCUUCAGAUAAGGAGAAUGUGAACUGUGAUGUUAACCAUGAGGAAGUGCGCCAACACCAAAGGACAAAUGCUAGCGGUGGACGCAAAGGCAGAUACAGAAGCCAAGGGCAUGGCUCGUCCCCUACUAUUCCUGGUUCUGAUCCUGCAAACAAGCCUAUUUCUGGACCGAGAAUGCCGGAUGGAACAAGGGGCUUUACAAUGGGGCGUGGUAGAUCUCUCCCACUUCCGAAAGCCUAGAAGGCCCAGAAGACUGAGGAAUAGAACUUUAUACAAAUGGCUAGUCCUCCUCUCAUGCCACUUUAUAAGGAUUGUCUUUUCUGAAAUACAGUAACUGCCGCUUGAGUUGGAAAUUUCACGCGUGGCUGGUAUUUUACCACCGUACAAAGUAUGCAUGUUUGUGACACGCUGACACGUGGUCUGAGGACUGCCAAAGCUUUGCUGGCUGUCAUAGGCUUUGGCUUGGAAAUUAAGAUGCGUCCUAAUAUGUUUGUCUGUUAGGCUAUUUAUGUCUAUCUGGUUGUGCAUAUUUGCAUCGCAGAAAGGAGCGGAAAUGAUUUGCUGCCAAAGCUUUGCGCUCUGGUGCUGUAUUGUGCUGCUGAUGGGAUAAAUGUUGAGCGAACAGUGAUGAAUGGAGAUCGAGAUCACAUUCUGCA
Molecule: RNA transcript, 1940 nt
Organism: Hordeum vulgare subsp. vulgare (domesticated barley)
Lineage: Eukaryota; Viridiplantae; Streptophyta; Magnoliopsida; Poales; Poaceae
Gene name: la-related protein 6A-like
Exons: 11
Source: RefSeq, a predicted model, not a curated record